UGCCAGCAGCCGCGGUAAUACGGAGGGUGCAAGCGUUAAUCGGAAUUACUGGGCGUAAAGCGCGCGUAGGCGGUUUUGUAAGUCGGAUGUGAAAUCCCUGGGCUUAACCUGGGAACUGCAUUCGAUACUGCAUAACUAGAGUAUGGUAGAGGGAAGUGGAAUUUCCGGUGUAGCGGUGAAAUGCGUAGAUAUCGGAAGGAACACCAGUGGCGAAGGCGACUUCCUGGACCAAUACUGACACUGAGGUACGAAAGCGUGGGGAGCAAACAGGAUUAGAUA
RNAcentral lists this ribosomal RNA (279 nucleotides) under uncultured bacterium. Its description in RNAcentral is "partial 16S ribosomal RNA". It matches the Rfam family "Bacterial small subunit ribosomal RNA", at positions 506 to 784 of the family's 1533-position model. The record is from RNAcentral.